AGGGCGUAAGCGCGGCAGGCGGUCUGUCAAUCUGAUGUGAAAUCCCCCGGCUCUACCUGGGAACUGCAUUCGAAACUGGCGAGCUAGGUCCUGUAGAGGGGGGUAGAAUUCCAGUGUAGCGUGAAAUGCGUAGGGCAGAUUGGAGGAAUACCGGUGGCGAAGGCGGCCCUUAGGGACUGUGACUGACGCUCAGGUGCGUUUAAGCGUGGGGAGCAAACAGGAUUAGAUACCCUGGUAGUCCACGCCGUAACGAUGACUAUUUGGAGGUUGAGCCCUUAGGCCUGUCUUCCUGGCUAACGCGUUAAAUCGACCGCCUGGGGAGUA
RNAcentral lists this ribosomal RNA (324 nucleotides) under uncultured Enterobacter sp. RNAcentral describes it as "bacterial SSU rRNA". It matches the Rfam family "Bacterial small subunit ribosomal RNA", at positions 555 to 882 of the family's 1533-position model. Lineage: Bacteria; Pseudomonadati; Pseudomonadota; Gammaproteobacteria; Enterobacterales; Enterobacteriaceae. The record is from RNAcentral.